GACGGGACCCCGCACAAGCAGCGGAGCGUGUGGUUAAUUCGAGGCUACACGAAGAACCUUACCAGGGUUUGACAUGCAAGUGGUAGGAAUCCGAAAGGUGACCGACCCUUCGGGGAGCUUGCACAGGUGCUGCAUGGCUGUCGUCAGCUCGUGUCGUGAGAUGUUCGGUUAAGUCCGCUAACGAGCGCAACCCUCGUCGUGUGUUAUACGUGUCACACGAUACUGCCGGUAUCAAGCCGGAGGAAGGUGGGGAUGAUGUCAAGUCAGCAUGGCCUUUAUAUCCUGGGCUACACACACGCUACAAUGGCAGAUACAAUAGGUUGCGAAACCGCGAGGUGGAGCCAAUCCUCAAAGUCUGUCUCAGUUCAGAUUGUAGGCUGCAACUCGCCUGCAUGAAGUUGGAGUUGCUAGUAAACGCAGGUCAGCUAUACUGCGUUGAAUACGUUCCCGGGGUUU
This 456-nucleotide ribosomal RNA is filed under the name uncultured Leptolinea sp. Its description in RNAcentral is "bacterial SSU rRNA". It matches the Rfam family "Bacterial small subunit ribosomal RNA", at positions 912 to 1382 of the family's 1533-position model. Lineage: Bacteria; Bacillati; Chloroflexota; Anaerolineae; Anaerolineales; Anaerolineaceae. The record is from RNAcentral.